AAAAAGUUUGCUGUUGUUGGAAUUUUAUUUGAAGGGAUGUCGAAGCGAAAAAAAGAAAAAUCAUUUGAGCUUUCUGAUGAUGAUGGAGUAACAGUCAAACAUUUUUUUGAUAUUUGCGGUUAAUUCGAUGUAAAAUCAUCAUCAUCUGUCGCUUCUCGUCAUUUGGGCUUUGGAAAUUGGUGAGUUGAUGUUAAAAUUUGUUUGUUUUUGUUUCAUUUCAGAUUGGGUUUAGUAGAAGAAAAAUCACCCGCUAUCCGAUAAUGUGCAUCAGGAAACAUCGAAAAAGGCAAAUCCCGCUCUGCAUGGGCCGCCAGGCGCCGGACGGCUGGUUUAUUGAUGGCUGGAGCAGUCUCCGCGUCCGAGAAGUAGGAUAUGUCACACGCAGAACCAUUCCCGAUUCGAUUACGCCGAAGAAAGUGGAAAGGUCACAGCAGAAAACGGCAUCCGAAUCCGGCAACAGCAAAAGUUAAUAACAUAGGAAAAGCACAGACGGUUCUUAAGAUAAAGGAACAGGAAGGCAAAGCGCAUGUACAGGACUAAUACUGCAGAAACAGCUGGGAAACGAGCUGAACCAAGAGAUGUUGGAUCUGACCUUAAAUAUUCUUAGUGCCAAUCCGGCCAUCGUCUCAGUUGAAUCUUCGAUCGGUGUGCAUCGAAAA
Uranotaenia lowii is the source of this 659-nucleotide long non-coding RNA. RefSeq lists it as uncharacterized. The record is from RefSeq and is a predicted model, not a curated record. The transcript is spliced from 3 exons. NCBI's taxonomy places the organism in Eukaryota, Metazoa, Arthropoda, Insecta, Diptera, Culicidae.